Molecule: non-coding RNA, 136 nt
Organism: Hordeum vulgare subsp. vulgare (domesticated barley)
Lineage: Eukaryota; Viridiplantae; Streptophyta; Magnoliopsida; Poales; Poaceae
Source: Rfam
AAUAUACUUCCUCCGUCCCAAAAUUCUUGUCUUAGAUUUGUCUAAAUAUAAACGUAUCUAGUCAUGUUUUACUAUUUAGAUACAUUCAUUUUUAGACAAACUUAAGACAAGAAUUUUGGAACGGAGGGAGUAAUUA